This 468-nucleotide ribosomal RNA is filed under the name uncultured bacterium. RNAcentral's name for it is "partial 16S ribosomal RNA". It matches the Rfam family "Bacterial small subunit ribosomal RNA", at positions 28 to 507 of the family's 1533-position model. The record is from RNAcentral.
GACGAGCGCUGGCGGCGUGCUUAACACAUGCAAGUCGAACGGAAAGGCCCUGCUUUUGUGGGGUGCUCGAGUGGCGAACGGGUGAGUAACACGUGAGUAACCUGCCCUUGACUUUGGGAUAACUUCAGGAAACUGGGGCUAAUACCGGAUAGGAGCUCCUGCUGCAUGGUGGGGGUUGGAAAGUUUCGGCGGUUGGGGAUGGACUCGCGGCUUAUCAGCUUGUUGGUGGGGUAGUGGCUUACCAAGGCUUUGACGGGUAGCCGGCCUGAGAGGAUGACCGGCCACAUUGGGACUGAGAUACGGCCCAGACUCCUACGGGAGGCAGCAGUGGGGAAUAUUGCACAAUGGGCGGAAGCCUGAUGCAGCAACGCCGCGUGCGGGAUGACGGCCUUCGGGUUGUAAACCGCUUUCGCCUGUGACGAAGCGUGAGUGACGGUAAUGGGUAAAGAAGCACCGGCUAACUACGUG